UCUUAUUUUUUACUGAUAAGACUUUGAACUUUUCACACUCCAUGGUCUACAGCCAACUGCAAAUCAAAAAGUAAAUUAUUUGAAAGUGACAAUCAAAAAAAAGACUUCAGAUUUCAAAGACUUCGGGUCAGAAUUCUAGGCAGAAGCCGAAUUCCAACUCGAGAGGACAGAGACACCUACAUUGAGAAUUGGGGAAGGAAGUAUUUUUCAUCCUUCAGUGUGAUGGCAACGACAGUGUGAAGCGUCCCUUGCAAGUAAUUUGAGAUGGCAAAUGAUGGUCUGAUUCGGUGAGUAGCGGAGGCUUCGGCCUGCCGUUGUUCUCUUUGAGAUGGUGGUGAAAAAGGACAAAGGAAUUGAAAUACUAUUCAGGAUCCUUAUUGAUCCUCAAUUCUAGUUAUCUGAUUAGUAAAUCAAAAUGAGUAAUCUAUUAUGAGUGCAUAAGUUCUUCUAUUUCUCGAUAUAUAAUUUUUUAAUGUGCGUGUGAUUUUGAGGAUGAUGAUGUUGGAAUAAAUAUUUCUCAGUAUCCAAGAUGCCAUGUGCUUGUGUUGCUUAUGGGUGCUCCAAUAAUGCUUAUAAACUGGAAUGUAGGAAUAAAAAGGUGUCAUUUCGCCAAUUUCCCUUGAAGGAUGAGAAUCUCUUGUCUAAGUGGUUGACAAAAAUUUAAAGGAUUGGCUUUGUGCCAAACAAAUAUAGAAAAAUCGGCUCACAACAGGAAGAAGAGUAAUCAAAAAAAGAUGCUGUGCCAAUUUAGUUCAGUUUUAUUCCCCCAAUGCGUGACAGGAAACGAACAUCAUAUCAAUUCCAGAAAAUAAAGAUUUUUCUAAACAAAGGAUGAAGACAUUGUUGGUUAAAGCAAUGAAAGAUAGAAAAGAAUUGUCUAUGCAGCCACAGAACUCUGAUUCUGAAGAUGGUACUUUGGGCAAGGAUAUGCUCAUCCAGCAGGAACUGAUAUGUGAACUAAAAGCUGAAUGUUCUCGGCUCAAAAAAGAGAGGAUGAAGCCCAAGCAGUGGCAAGUUUAUCUCAAAAAAGAAUAUUAGAACUUGAAAAAGAGUGUGAAAGUCUUCGUGCAGCAAAAGAGAUAGUUGUGGUUUCUGAUAAAAAUCCACCAGAGCUCGAAGAAGUAAAAGAGCUUAUAAGAUUGGAUCGAAACUUACAGCUUCAAGUUCUGGAUAAAAUAGCUUAUGGUAAAUUUAAUGCUUUCAUAACAGACUAUCUAUAAUUUAUGUUUAUUAUUUUUAAAAGAAUUGUGAAUGUCACAAUUCAAACAAUGUUUGUAUACCAGCCGGGUGCAAUUUUAGAGAAAGGCACAUAUCAAUCAAAUUGCCAGUAAAAAAUUUAAUUACGAAGAAGAAAUAAGCGAAUCUGAUUAUGGACAUGCUUUAAAUGUUUUCCAAAUAUUCAAUUCAUAACAUUAGGUAACUAUUGUGAUUUAUAUGUUAAAACCGAUGUAAUUUUAUUAGCAGAUUUAUUGGAAAAUUUUCGAAACGAUUUGCUUACAAACUUACCGUUUGGACCCAUGUUGGUAUUACACAGCUCCCGCUCUUUCUUGUGAUGCGAUGCUAUUCCAUUCAAAAAUAACUUUAGAACUAAUAACAGAUUAUGAUAUGAUUUUAUUCAUUGAAAAAGGUAUUAGAGGUAAAGGUCAAAGA
Parasteatoda tepidariorum (common house spider) is the source of this 1650-nucleotide non-coding RNA. The record is from RefSeq and is a predicted model, not a curated record. NCBI's taxonomy places the organism in Eukaryota, Metazoa, Arthropoda, Arachnida, Araneae, Theridiidae.